UACGGGGGGGGCAAGCGUUGUUCGGAAUUACUGGGCGUAAAGGGCUCGUAGGCGGGUUUCUAAGUCGGAGGUGAAAUCCUGGAGCUCAACUCCAGAACUGCCUUCGAUACUGGAGAUCUGGAGUCCGGGAGAGGUGAGUGGAACUCCGAGUGUAGAGGUGAAAUUCGUAGAUAUUCGGAAGAACACCAGUGGCGAAGGCGGCUCACUGGCCCGGUACUGACGCUGAGGUGCGAAAGCGUGGGGAGCAAACAGG
Molecule: ribosomal RNA, 253 nt
Filed under: uncultured bacterium
Lineage: Bacteria
Description: partial 16S ribosomal RNA
Rfam family: Bacterial small subunit ribosomal RNA
Source: RNAcentral